CCUACGGGUGGCAGCAGUGAGGAAUAUUGGUCAAUGGACGAGAGUCUGAACCAGCCAAGUAGCGUGAAGGAUGACUGCCCUAUGGGUUGUAAACUUCUUUUAUAUGGGAAUAAAAUGUUCCACGUGUGGGAUUUUGUAUGUACCAUAUGAAUAAGGAUCGGCUGACUCCGUGCCAGCAGCCGCGGUAAUACGGAGGAUCCGAGCGUUAUCCGGAUUUAUUGGGUUUAAAGGGAGCGUAGGUGGAUUGUUAAGUCAGUUGUGAAAGUUUGCGGCUCAACCGUAAAAUUGCAGUUGAAACUGGCAGUCUUGAGUACAGUAGAGGUGGGCGGAAUUCGUGGUGUAGCGGUGAAAUGCUUAGAUAUCACGAAGAACUCCGAUUGCGAAGGCAGUUCACUGGACUGCAACUGACACUGAGGCUCGAAAGUGUGGGUAUCAAACAGGAUUAGAUACCCUAGUAGUC
This 460-nucleotide ribosomal RNA is filed under the name uncultured bacterium. Its description in RNAcentral is "partial 16S ribosomal RNA". It matches the Rfam family "Bacterial small subunit ribosomal RNA", at positions 338 to 795 of the family's 1533-position model. The record is from RNAcentral.